RNAcentral lists this ribosomal RNA (450 nucleotides) under uncultured Glomeromycotina. Its description in RNAcentral is "SSU rRNA". It matches the Rfam family "Eukaryotic small subunit ribosomal RNA", at positions 569 to 1023 of the family's 1831-position model. Lineage: Eukaryota; Fungi; Glomeromycota. The record is from RNAcentral.
AGCAGCCGCGGUAAUUCCAGCUCCAAUAGCGUAUAUUAAAGUUGUUGCAGUUAAAAAGCUCGUAGUUGAAUUUCGGGAUCAAUAUGUCGGUCGUGCCUUCGGUACGUACUGGCAUCAUUGAUUUCUCCCUUCUGACGAACCACGAUGUCAUUAAUUUGGUGUCAUGGGGAGUCAGGACUGUUACUUUGAAAAAAUUAGAGUGUUUAAAGCAGGCUCACGCUUGAAUACAUUAGCAUGGAAUAAUGAAAUAGGACGUUUGACCCUAUUUUGUUGGUUUCUAGGAUCAACGUAAUGAUUAAUAGGGAUAGUUGGGGGCAUUAGUAUUCAAUUGUCAGAGGUGAAAUUCUUGGAUUUAUUGAAGACUAACUACUGCGAAAGCAUUUGCCAAGGAUGUUUUCAUUAAUCAAGAACGAAAGUUAGGGGAUCGAAGACGAUCAGAUACCGUUGUAG